Molecule: non-coding RNA, 50 nt
Filed under: unclassified sequences
Description: chromate-resist RNA
Rfam family: chrB-b RNA
Source: RNAcentral
CGGGGACAACACAGGCUCCCCGCCAGACGGGCUUCCCGUCCAAGCCCUGU